CUGGCGGCAGGCCUAACACAUGCAAGUCGAACGAACUCUUCGGAGUUAGUGGCGGACGGGUGAGUAACACGUGGGAACGUGCCUUUAGGUUCGGAAUAACUCAGGGAAACUUGUGCUAAUACCGAAUGUGCCCUUCGGGGGAAAGAUUUAUCGCCUUUAGAGCGGCCCGCGUCUGAUUAGCUAGUUGGUGAGGUAAUGGCUCACCAAGGCGACGAUCAGUAGCUGGUCUGAGAGGAUGAUCAGCCACAUUGGGACUGAGACACGGCCCAAACUCCUACGGGAGGCAGCAGUGGGGAAUCUUGCGCAAUGGGCGAAAGCCUGACGCAGCCAUGCCGCGUGAAUGAUGAAGGUCUUAGGAUUGUAAAAUUCUUUCACCGGGGACGAUAAUGACGGUACCCGGAGAAGAAGCCCCGGCUAACUUCGUGCCAGCAGCCGCGGUAAUACGAAGGGGGCUAGCGUUGCUCGGAAUUACUGGGCGUAAAGGGAGCGUAGGCGGACAUUUAAGUCAGGGGUGAAAUCCCGGGGCUCAACCUCGGAAUUGCCUUUGAUACUGGGUGUCUUGAGUAUGAGAGAGGUAUGUGGAACUCCGAGUGUAGAGGUGAAAUUCGUAGAUAUUCGGAAGAACACCAGUGGCGAAGGCGACAUACUGGCUCAUUACUGACGCUGAGGCUCGAAAGCGUGGGGAGCAAACAGGAUUAGAUACCCUGGUAGUCCACGCCGUAAACGAUGAUUGCUAGUUGUCGGGAUGC
Molecule: ribosomal RNA, 749 nt
Filed under: Caulobacteraceae bacterium
Lineage: Bacteria; Pseudomonadati; Pseudomonadota; Alphaproteobacteria; Caulobacterales; Caulobacteraceae
Description: bacterial SSU rRNA
Rfam family: Bacterial small subunit ribosomal RNA
Source: RNAcentral